This 3266-nucleotide long non-coding RNA is filed under the name Gallus gallus (chicken). Its description in RNAcentral is "long non-coding RNA NONGGAT005020". The record is from RNAcentral. Lineage: Eukaryota; Metazoa; Chordata; Aves; Galliformes; Phasianidae.
GCGUGAGGUUACAGUGGGCUGAGCUGCGGGAGCGCCGUGCUAAUGGGGCAGAAAGCAAUCAGGGGCUUUGGUAAUGGGGCUGAGGGGGGAAGGGGCGCUGACCCACGGGUGCCGUGUGCUCUCUCAGCCCUGUGAUGCUCCCCGUGCUCUGCGACAGCGUGGAGCCAAAGGAGGUUAUUGGGGCGGGAGGAAGCAUUUGUUCGACCCAUUUGUUCUUAUGGGGCUGCGUGCUGCAGGGGGUGCCGGCACAAUGGGGUGAGCACCUCGUGGUUGGGGUCCUCCCGGGGCGCCCCUAUCCUUGCGUGCAGUGAGAGGGGCUCUGUGCAAAGCCUCCGGUGUGGGUCUGAGUGCAGACGUGGGGGUGGGAGGAGGAUGGGCAGCUCGGAAAGCAUUGCACGGCAGCAGAGCCACGGGAGCUGUGUUAAUUCAAAGCAGAACAGAGUCUGGGGUGCUCAGAACUCGUGGAGAAGUGGAUCUGUGGCUCAGUGAUGGGCUCUAACUCAGUUAGCUCUGAUGCUGGUGUGCGGACUUAACCUCAUUUUAAAGCUCUUCCCAGCAGAUGCUCUGCUGUGCAGCAUGGGUGGUGCUCGCUCUGCUCCCCAGUUUGCCCAGCGCUGAGUGUGGGAUGUGGCACAGUGUCCUGGGGGUGAAAUGAGCACUGAGGUCAUGAAGACAGCUGCACACCCGAGAUCCCUACAAGAGGAUUUGCUUUGUCUCCAUUGUAAUGCCCUUAUGGCAUCCAUGGCAUGGAUAGGGCCAUGAAUCGACCUCUGCACUGCAUUCCAUUGCAUUGCUUUGCACUGGGUUGGGGUUGCACUGCAUUCUGUUGCAUUGCUUUGCACUGGGUUAGCAUUGGGGUUGCACUGCAGUCUGUUGCAUUGCUUUGCACUGGGUUAAGGUCAGGGUUGCACUGCAGCCUGUUGCAUUGCUUUGCACGGGGUUAGCGUUGGGAUUGCACUGCAGUCUGUUACAUUGCUUUGCACUGGGUUAAGGUCAGGGUUGGUGUUGCACUGCAUUCUGUUGCAUUGCUUUGCACUGGGUUAGGAUUGCAUUGCAGCCUGUUGCAUUGCUUUGCACUGGGUUAGGGCUGGAGUUUUGUUCUACUGCACUGCUUUGGGUUGCACUGAAUUGCAUUGCAUUGUAUUGCACAGGAGCUGCGGGAGCUGACUUUGGGGCAGAGAGCUGAGCCUCCUCCUUAGCAGUGAACCCACACCUCUGCCCAUGCACAAAGCUGAGGCAGCCACAGCUUUGGAUGGGAUCGCUCCGUUGCAAAGGGGAAGCGCUGCUCUGAGCUCUGCCUUAAUGCCUCUCUGUGCCAUUCCAGUGUGAGUUCAGCUCUGCUGCUCCCCAUGUCUGCAAUGUCUGCAGGGUCUUCCGUGCAUGCCGUGCUCCAAGCAUCAGAGUCACUGGGCAACGCCGUGCAGCAGCAGGGCGGGCUCUGCAAAGGGAAUUGCAUCUGAACAGCGUUGCAUCUGAAUAGCGCUGCACCUGCAGAGUGUUGCAUCUGAACAGCAUUGCAUCUGAACAGCACGGUACCUGCACAGUAUUGCAUCUGCACAGUGUUACAUCCAAACAGCGUUGCACCUGAGCAACACAGUGCCUGCACAGUGUUUGCAUCUGAACAGCACAGUAUCUGCACAGCGUUGCAUCUGAAUAGCAUUGCACCUGCACAGUGUUGCAUCUGAACAGCAUUGCACCUGCUCAGCAUUGCAUCUGAACAACACAGUACCUACACAGCGUUGCAUCUGAACAGAACAGCACCUGCAUAUCAUUGCAUCUGAACAGCAUUGCGACUGCGUGGCACUGCAUCUGAAUAGCACUGCGCCUGCACUGCUUUGCACCUGCACGGUGUUGCACCUGCACUGCUUUGCACCUGCACAGUAAUGGCAUUGCACUUGCACAGAAGGAGAGGGAGAGAAAGCAGCCCUGGGAUCGGGACCUGCUGCUCACAGGGCCCCGCAGGGCUGUGCCCUCACUGUUUGCCCACAUCCCACCGAAAUCCCACGGGAUCGAUGGGGGUCGGCCGGGUGCACCGCCCCGAGGCCAUGGGAUCGAUGAGGAGUGAAGGAAAUGCGGCCGAAGAUGCGCGGUUUUACAGCUUCCUCCCCAAGAACGGCCGUGCUUUAUGGACUGCUGGUAAUUGCCAAUUAAUUGCGCUGCAGCCGAGGGCAGGAAAGCAGCCCGCAUCCUCCAUACGGGGUGGGCAGGAUAUCAGAGUCCGAAGGUGUUACCACUCCUCCACUUAAUGAAGAAAAAUCACGAUGGAGGCGGCCGGAGGCAACGCAAUGGGAUUGCAGCGGGGAGGAGAGGACUGUGUUAACACCCAUUAAUAAUAAAUAACCGCCAUAAUGAGCUCUAAUUAAUUUGGUCACACGUUAGAGAUCGCUUCCUUCUUUUUUAAGCUUGUAGGUUUUUCUGUGCCGGAGCAUCCCUGCGCCCUGGCUGUUCCCAGCCCCUUCCAUUCAACGUGUGAUAGAUGGAUUGAUACGCAGCUUUAAUCAGUGUAAUAUAUAAAGCACUUAAUUUGCCUUAUUAAAAGUCUGCACUUUGGAUUUUCAGGCUUCAGGAAAUUAACUCAAGCACCUAACCAUUUAUUUGAUUGAGAGAGAGCAUAAAUAAUUCAUGGCUUUUGCUUUGCCUUGGGUGGAAGAGCUGUGGGGUGAUGGGGAACGUUCCCCAGCACAGGGACAUGGCAGCUCUGCUUGGGGACCGACAGAGCGCCGUGUAAGGUGUGCAAUGUGCAUCCCUGGAGCGUGCAAGGCCUGCAAGCCAGCCCUUAUGGUGCGCAGUGUGCAACCUCAGAGCUGUGCACUGCUGCCACUACGGCGUGGGAUGCGUGUGCUUGAGGCUGUGCUUUGCCGGCUGGUCCUGAUGGCGCAGGAUGUGCAUCCCUGGGACGUUCAACAGCACUCAGCCCUUGGAGUGAGGGAUGUGCAUCCCUGGGAUGUGCAUCAGCAUCCAGCCCUUAAGGUGUGGGAUGUGCAUCCCUGGGAUGUGCAUCAGCAUCCAGCCCUUACGGUGUGGGAUGUGCAUCCCUGCGAUGUGCAUCAGCAUCCAGCCCUUACGGUGUGGGAUGUGCAUCCCUGCAAUGUUCACCACCGCCCAGCUCUUACAGUGAGGCAUGUGCACCCCUGGGCCCGUGCUUCCCCACUCCACCUUUCUGGUGUGGGGCGUGCACCCUUUGGGACCGCGCUUAGCCAGGCUCUGGGGCGCACAGUGCUCCGCUCCCGAGUCCGGCGGUGCCGACCCCACAGCGCGGGCGCGCA